Molecule: ribosomal RNA, 427 nt
Filed under: uncultured bacterium
Lineage: Bacteria
Also listed under: 1 other name
Description: bacterial SSU rRNA
Rfam family: Bacterial small subunit ribosomal RNA
Source: RNAcentral
UGGGGAAUAUUGGACAAUGGGCGCAAGCCUGAUCCAGCCAUACCGCGUGGGUGAAGAAGGCCUUCGGGUUGUAAAGCCCUUUUGUUGGGAAAGAAAUCCAGCUGGCUAAUACCCGGUUGGGAUGACGGUACCCAAAGAAUAAGCACCGGCUAACUUCGUGCCAGCAGCCGCGGUAAUACGAAGGGUGCAAGCGUUACUCGGAAUUACUGGGCGUAAAGCGUGCGUAGGUGGUCGUUUAAGUCCGUUGUGAAAGCCCUGGGCUCAACCUGGGAACUGCAGUGGAUACUGGGCGACUAGAGUGUGGUAGAGGGUAGCGGAAUUCCUGGUGUAGCAGUGAAAUGCGUAGAGAUCAGGAGGAACAUCCAUGGCGAAGGCAGCUACCUGGACCAACACUGACACUGAGGCACGAAAGCGUGGGGAGCAAACA